Molecule: ribosomal RNA, 253 nt
Filed under: uncultured bacterium
Lineage: Bacteria
Description: partial 16S ribosomal RNA
Rfam family: Bacterial small subunit ribosomal RNA
Source: RNAcentral
UACGUAGGGGGCAAGCGUUGUCCGGAUUUAUUGGGCGUAAAGCGCGUGUAGGCGGCCACACAGGUCCGCUGUGAAAACUCGAGGCUCAACCUCGAGCUGUCGGUGGAAACCGUGUGGCUAGAGUCCGGAAGAGGAGACUGGAAUUCCCGGUGUAGCGGUGGAAUGCGCAGAUAUCGGGAGGAACACCGAUGGCGAAGGCAGAUCUCUGGGCCGUAACUGACGCUGAGGAGCGAAAGCAUGGGGAGCGAACAGG